CGAACGCUGGCGGCGUGCCUAAUACAUGCAAGUCGAGCGGACGAUUCAAAAGCUUGCUUUUGAAUCGUUAGCGGCGGACGGGUGAGUAACACGUGGGCAACCUGCCCUGUAGACGGGGAUAACACCGAGAAAUCGGUGCUAAUACCGGAUAACACGGAAGACCGCAUGGUUUUUCGUUGAAAGGCGGCGCAAGCUGUCGCUACAGGAUGGGCCCGCGGCGCAUUAGCUAGUUGGUGAGGUAACGGCUCACCAAGGCGACGAUGCGUAGCCGACCUGAGAGGGUGAUCGGCCACACUGGGACUGAGACACGGCCCAGACUCCUACGGGAGGCAGCAGUAGGGAAUCUUCCGCAAUGGACGAAAGUCUGACGGAGCAACGCCGCGUGAGCGAAGAAGGCCUUCGGGUCGUAAAGCUCUGUUGUUAGGGAAGAACAAGUACCGCAGUCACUGGCGGUACCUUGACGGUACCUAACGAGAAAGCCACGGCUAACUACGUGCCAGCAGCCGCGGUAAUACGUAGGUGGCAAGCGUUGUCCGGAAUUAUUGGGCGUAAAGCGCGCGCAGGCGGUUCCUUAAGUCUGAUGUGAAAGCCCACGGCUCAACCGUGGAGGGUCAUUGGAAACUGGGGGACUUGAGUGCAGAAGAGGAGAGCGGAAUUCCACGUGUAGCGGUGAAAUGCGUAGAGAUGUGGAGGAACACCAGUGGCGAAGGCGGCUCUCUGGUCUGUAACUGACGCUGAGGCGCGAAAGCGUGGGGAGCAAACAGGAUUAGAUACCCUGGUAGUCCACGCCGUAAACGAUGAGUGCUAAGUGUUAGAGGGUAUCCACCCUUUAGUGCUGUAGCUAACGCAUUAAGCACUCCGCCUGGGGAGUACGCUCGCAAGAGUGA
This 887-nucleotide ribosomal RNA is filed under the name uncultured organism. RNAcentral describes it as "SSU rRNA". It matches the Rfam family "Bacterial small subunit ribosomal RNA", at positions 30 to 897 of the family's 1533-position model. The record is from RNAcentral.